Molecule: small nuclear RNA, 151 nt
Filed under: Arabidopsis suecica
Lineage: Eukaryota; Viridiplantae; Streptophyta; Magnoliopsida; Brassicales; Brassicaceae
Also listed under: 1 other name
Description: U4
Rfam family: U4 spliceosomal RNA
About the family: U4 small nuclear RNA (U4 snRNA) is a component of the major U2-dependent spliceosome.
Source: RNAcentral
AUCCUUGCGCUUGGGGCAAUGACGUAGCUAAUGAGGUCUGAACCGAGGCGCGUCUAUUGCUGGUUGAAAACUAUUUCCAAACCCCAUCCUAGGCCUAAGCGUGUCUUGGGCCUUCGAGAAUUUCUGGAAGAGUUCCCUUAGGGGUAAAGCU